Molecule: ribosomal RNA, 484 nt
Filed under: uncultured bacterium
Lineage: Bacteria
Description: partial 16S ribosomal RNA
Rfam family: Bacterial small subunit ribosomal RNA
Source: RNAcentral
AUUGAACGCUGGCGGCAUGCUUUACACAUGCAAGUCGAACGGCAGCGCGGGCUUCGGCCUGGCGGCGAGUGGCGAACGGGUGAGUAAUGCAUCGGAACGUGCCCAGUAGUGGGGGAUAGCCCGGCGAAAGCCGGAUUAAUACCGCAUACGACCUGAGGGUGAAAGCGGGGGACCGAAAGACCUCGCGCUAUUGGAGCGGCCGAUGUCGGAUUAGCCAGUUGGUGGGGUAAAGGCUUACCAAGGCGACGAUCCGUAGCUGGUCUGAGAGGACGACCAGCCACAGUGGGACUGAGACACGGCCCAGACUCCUACGGGAGGCAGCAGUGGGGAAUUUUGGACAAUGGGGGCAACCCUGAUCCAGCCAUGCCGCGUGCGGGAAGAUGGCCUUCGGGUUGUAAACCGCUUUUGUUCGGGAAGAAAUCCUCUGGGCUAAUACCCCGGGGGGAUGACGGUACCGGAAGAAUAAGCACCGGCUAACUACGUG